GCCGCGCGGUUUCCGCCCCGGACAAGAUGUCUGCGGGGUCCCGACUCGCGGCGCCGCCGCCCCGCCGCGCCCCGGGGCCGGCUUGAGGCAACGGACAGUAAAAAGUAUAUAACAACGUGUAAAAAGGCCGAGAGCUCAAACAAGAGUUAGACUUCUGAUCAUCCCUCCAGAUAAUGGAUACUAGAAUGAAACUCACCAUGGCACCAGAAUUAUUGAUUGAAGCAUCUCUCCACCAGACAGUGGGCCUCCAGAGGGCAGGGACUAUGCGGUGCUCCCACUGGCAUCCUCAGCAGGAAGCACGUGCCUAACCCUGAGCAGGUGCACAAGGAGCCUUUGAAUGAAGGAGUGGAUGGAUAUCGGCAGAAUCAUCACAUUCACUGGCACUUUUCUGAUGCAGACAUGGAGACUUGGGUGAGCCGGGGCUAAGAAACGUAAAGUUGGGCUCAUUUCAUUUAAUGCAGCGCCCCCUGAGUGCCUACCCUGUGCCAAGGAGCACUGCUGACGCUUAUGCUGCAGCUUCUACCUGAGGACCUGGGUUGGCUGGAAGCCCGGCGGCAAUGAGGACGUGGCCCGCCAUCUAAUUUAAAGGCGCUGCGGAGGAUGCGGAGCGGCGAGCCGCCGGGGACCAUGGACGAGAGCGGCGCGCCGGCCGAGGCGGCGGCGCAGGGCGGCC
Equus quagga is the source of this 673-nucleotide long non-coding RNA. RefSeq lists it as uncharacterized. The transcript is spliced from 7 exons. The record is from RefSeq and is a predicted model, not a curated record. NCBI's taxonomy places the organism in Eukaryota, Metazoa, Chordata, Mammalia, Perissodactyla, Equidae.